GAUUAAGCCAUGCAUGUGUAAGUAUAAAUAAUUCUACUUUGAAACUGCGAAUGGCUCAUUAUAUCAGUUAUAGUUUAUUAGAAAAAAUGUACUACUUGGAUAACCGUAGUAAUUCUAGGGCUAAUACAUGAGUAAAUCCUCGACUUUGAAGAGGUGUGUUUAUUAGUAUGAAAACCAUAUGCUUCGGCAUAAUAGUGAGUAAUAAUAACCUUUCAUAUCGUAUGUUGAAAUAACGAUAGUUCUUUCAAGUUUCUGCCCUAUCAGCUUUCGAUGGUAGUGUAUUGGACUACCAUG
Molecule: ribosomal RNA, 294 nt
Filed under: Blastocystis sp.
Lineage: Eukaryota; Bigyra; Opalinata; Blastocystidae
Description: partial small subunit ribosomal RNA
Rfam family: Eukaryotic small subunit ribosomal RNA
Source: RNAcentral